AGAGUUUGAUCAUGGCUCAGGACGAACGCUGGCGGCGUGCUUAACACAUGCAAGUCAUGGGGGCCCGCAAGGGCAACCGGCGAACGGGUGCGUAACACGUGAGCAACCUACCGAUUUGUGGGGGAUAGCUGCCCUAACGGGCAGGUAAUACCGCAUAUGAUCAUCGGCCCGCAUGGGCCGAUGAUCAAACUCCUUAUACGAGGCAGAUCGAGGGGCUCGCGUCCUAUCAGCUAGUUGGCGAGGUCACGGCUCACCAAGGCGACGACGGGUAGCUGGUCUGAGAGGAUGGCCAGCCACAUUGGGACUGAGAAACGGCCCAGACUCCUACGGGAGGCAGCAGUCGAGAAUUUUUCUCAAUGGGCGCAAGCCUGAAGGAGCGACGCCGCGUGGGGGAUGAAGGGUUUCGAUCCGUAAACCCCUGUCAUUCGUGAACAAUGGUUACCGGUGAAUAGCCGGUGGCUUGAUAGUAACGGAAGAGGAAGGGACGGCUAACUCUGUGCUAGCAGCCGCGGUAAUAC
RNAcentral lists this ribosomal RNA (518 nucleotides) under uncultured bacterium. RNAcentral describes it as "bacterial SSU rRNA". It matches the Rfam family "Bacterial small subunit ribosomal RNA", at positions 8 to 526 of the family's 1533-position model. The record is from RNAcentral.